This 342-nucleotide unclassified non-coding RNA is filed under the name Hevea brasiliensis (rubber tree). Lineage: Eukaryota; Viridiplantae; Streptophyta; Magnoliopsida; Malpighiales; Euphorbiaceae. The record is from RNAcentral.
GGGAAAGAAGGAGGGAACAGGGGUAGGGACGAGACUUGAAAGUGUUUCGUUUUCCAAGUUGAGAGGUGCAUCUACCGUAAGGCAAAGCCUACAGGUGCAUAAGGUUUCUUCUUGACUACUCUUGCUACCCAAUUUGAAUUGGAUUGUCAAGGUUAUAAGACGAAAAUCAAUGAUUUAUGAUCUUUACACUAUCAUAAAUAGUUGGUAAUGGUACUUAUCUUCCAUGGUCUUGUUUAUGGCUGAAGAAUUGGCCUUUUCAGUUUUCUCUCUGCUUCCUGCGUAUUAUGGUUCCCUCCUCCUUAUUGCUUAGAACAUAAAACUUUUAUUUGCAAAAAAGCAGCC